GGCCUAUUAGCUUAGUUGGUUUGAGCGUCGUGUUAAUAAUGCGAAGGUCACAGGUUCAAGACUUGUAUGGGCCA
Ipomoea nil (Japanese morning glory) is the source of this 74-nucleotide transfer RNA. It matches the Rfam family "tRNA". From Rfam's summary of the family: Transfer RNA (tRNA) molecules are approximately 80 nucleotides in length. Their secondary structure includes four short double-helical elements and three loops (D, anti-codon, and T loops). NCBI's taxonomy places the organism in Eukaryota, Viridiplantae, Streptophyta, Magnoliopsida, Solanales, Convolvulaceae. The record is from Rfam.